Long non-coding RNA from Homo sapiens (human), 2155 nucleotides. RefSeq lists it as uncharacterized. The transcript has 3 exons. The record is from RefSeq and is a predicted model, not a curated record. Lineage: Eukaryota; Metazoa; Chordata; Mammalia; Primates; Hominidae.
UUUUAUGGUAACUGCAUCCACCUUGCCUUUGGGGAUUGAGUGCUCUGAUCACUUGACCCCAGCCCCUGUAGUGUGCGUAUGUCACUUACCCUCUUUAUACCUCAGUCUCCUCCUCUAUAAAAUGGGCAUCCUCAUUGCACCCACCCCCAGGGCUGCUGUGAGGUAUAGAUGGAUUAGCAUAUGGAAAGUAAUAGAAGAGGGUCUCAAAGUCCAUGUGUCGUUAUCAGAAUUAUUUCGUGACAGGGGAGAGCUGGAGGAGAGAGGAAGGUGCUGAGCAGACCCACGUGCUCUCCCACCAGUGUUUCCUCAGCACCUACUAUGUGCUGCCCACUGUGAGAGCUGUUAGGGUUGAAACAGGGAGCACAGCAGGGUAGGGGCUGCCAUCAGGAGCUUAGUGGGGAGACCAUUGUGCAACAUGGUUCCAGCGCUUGGGGUGGGGAAGCUCAGGGAGUUCAGGGGCCUAGGAUCGAGGGCAGAAUCAUGGAAAGGACAUAACCUCCCCAGCCUCUCCUGCCUCCAUUGCCUCCCGGGCCUCCUCUGCUUCCCUGGCCUCUCCUACCUUCCUGGCUUCCCCUUCCGCCCCGGCCUCCUCAGUCUCCCCUGUCUCUCCUGCUUUUGAGGUGGGCCAGGAGCUGCUAGUGCUCACUUAGCCUGUCCUGGGCUCUUGGUGUAGCACCUCAAUGUCCAGAAAAUACCCCCGAGUUCAGCUCAUCACACAGUCAAGGAAGGAGCUCCACACUGACACUAAGGGUGCAUCCUGGGCUCAUUCAUCAGGGCAUGCCUCCAAAAUAUUUCUCCACGUCUCCUCCCUUUGCCCACCUGCACUGUCUCUGUGCCUGAGCCCCGGCUGGGGGCCUGCAAGGAUCCCGUAUCUCCUCUGCCCCUGCACGGCUGGGUCCCAGGCAAUCUGUCUGCCCACCACACCUUCCUCCCCUUGCCCACCAUGCUCCAGCCCCACAGUCCUCUUUCUGCUUCUUUCCCAGCCUCUGGGCUUUUGCACACGCUGUUCCCUCUGCCUGAACACCCUCCACUGGGCUGAGAACAACUCUCUGAGACCUCUCUCAGCUGUUGCUUCCUUUGGAAAAGCCGCUGCUGCUGUCCCUCUCCCAGCUCAAAGACGUGCUGAGCCUCCUCUCUUUUUCAGUUCCCAUGCCCCCAGCACUUCUCCUUGGCCUCCUUUGGCCCAGUUGACAAUGUCCAUUCUCAAUGCCUUCCCACCCAGAGCUGAGCCCCACUGGGUGAAGGCAAUGCCUGUCAUGUUCUCCACAAUAUCCCCUCCCCCAUCACCACGACUGGUCCACAGUGAUGCUCAAAAAAGAUCUGUUGGUAGGCAAUGGGAAGGUGCAUUCAUGUCAUCCUGCAGGAGGAAUUCUCCACGAGUUUUGAGCAGCCUCGGGUUUCCCACCACCUCCAAAUCUUGGAAGACACAGGGUGCAGGCAGAGCCCCCGAGCCAUGGCCAGCCCUUCCGGCAGCUCCGAAGCCACUGGCAAGCCCCGAGGCAGGGAUGGCCGGCCCAGGAGGGAGGAGGACGACGUCCCUCCCGAAGAGAAGAGGCUGGGGCUGUAGCUGGAGGGGGGAAGCGCACAGCCCGAGGACUGCGAGAACGGGGAGGACGCGCCGCGGCCAGGCAGGGAGGAGACCGGCACCCAGACAGGUGGCGACCGCAGAGGAUUCCUAUGGGAAUACUCUCUUUGAAGAACCCAUGAAGCAGUGUCAGGCUGGUACGAGGAUCAGCAGUGAUUUCUUUGAGGAGGAGAGCCCGUUUCUUCACUCACAGGCCAUGUCUGAGUGGAUCAAGAAGAACAGAGUGCCCUUUUAUGAGAUUUUGUCUGCGUAGACCACUAGCUUGGUAAAAAUGUCAAAACCAUCCUCGUUCUUUAAUAACAGAUUAUUUUGGACUUUUCUCUGCAAGAAGCAGCAUGGGCAUUCAGAUGCUUUUAAGGAUAAAAUGUUCUUUCUCAUCACCAGGCCUGGUGCUCUGUAUGGCUGAGGUUUUAAUGUGACUUGGUGUCCCUUGGAGUUGCUUCCAGGCAGUGCUCUUGUGGUUGGGUCGCAAGGGGUUGCUUUAUUCGGUGGUGGCUAGAGGAGGUUUUAGCAGAUAAAUCGGGACCCCAGGAGCCCCUGAGUGUCAAGUCCUGCUGCAGGGCAUGUGUU